GACGAACGCUGGCGGCGUGCCUAAUACAUGCAAGUCGAGCGGACUGAAUGUGAGCUUGCUCUUGUUCGUUCAGCGGCGGACGGGUGAGUAACACGUGGGCAACCUGCCCGCAAGACCGGGAUAACUCCGGGAAACCGUAGCUAAUACCGGAUAACACCGAAGACCUCAUGGUCUUUGGUUGAAAGGCGGCGCACGCUGCCACUUGCGGAUGGGCCCGCGGCGCAUUAGCUAGGUGGUGAGGUAACGGCCCACCAAGGCGACGAUGCGUAGCCGGCCUGAGAGGGUGAAAGGCCAAACUGGGACUGAGACAAGGCCCAGACCCCUACGGGAGGCAGCAGUAGGGAAUCUUUCGCAAUGGGGGGAAGCCUGACGGAGCGAAGGCGGGUGGGCGAAGAAGGCCUUCGGGUCGGAAAGGUCUGUUGUGAGGGAAGAAGGAGGGCCGUUUGAAGAAGGCGGCGCGGUGACGGUACCUGAAGAGGAAGCCCCGGCUAACUACGUG
RNAcentral lists this ribosomal RNA (499 nucleotides) under uncultured bacterium. RNAcentral's name for it is "partial 16S ribosomal RNA". It matches the Rfam family "Bacterial small subunit ribosomal RNA", at positions 28 to 507 of the family's 1533-position model. The record is from RNAcentral.